GUCCACGCCCUAACGAUGUCAACUGGUUGUUGGGAAUUCACUUUCUCAGUAACGAAGCUAACGCGUGAAGUUGACCGCCUGGGAGUACGGCCGCAAGGUUGAACUCAAGGAAUUGACGGGACCCGCACAAGCGGUGGAUGAUGUGGUUUAAUUCGAUGCAACGCGAAAACCUUACCCACCUUUGACAUGUACGGAAUUCGCCAGAGAUGGCUUAGUGCUCGAAAAGAGAACCGUAACACAGGUGCUGCAUGGCUGUCGU
This 259-nucleotide ribosomal RNA is filed under the name uncultured bacterium. RNAcentral's name for it is "partial 16S ribosomal RNA". It matches the Rfam family "Bacterial small subunit ribosomal RNA", at positions 793 to 1055 of the family's 1533-position model. The record is from RNAcentral.